This 722-nucleotide ribosomal RNA is filed under the name uncultured fungus. RNAcentral's name for it is "eukaryotic LSU rRNA". The stretch from base 1 to 171 matches the Rfam family "Eukaryotic small subunit ribosomal RNA", at positions 1663 to 1831 of the family's 1831-position model. The record is from RNAcentral. Lineage: Eukaryota; Fungi.
UACACACCGCCCGUCGCUACUACCGAUUGAAUGGCUGAGUGAGGCCUUCGGACUGGCCCAGGGAGGUCGGCAACGACCACCCAGGGCCGGAAAGUUGGUCAAACUCCGUCAUUUAGAGGAAGUAAAAGUCGUAACAAGGUUUCCGUAGGUGAACCUGCGGAAGGAUCAUUAAAGAGUAAGGGUGCUCAGCGCCCGACCUCCAACCCUUUGUUGUUAAAACUACCUUGUUGCUUUGGCGGGACCGCUCGGUCUCGAGCCGCUGGGGAUUCGUCCCAGGCGAGCGCCCGCCAGAGUUAAACCAAACUCUUGUUAUUAAACCGGUCGUCUGAGUUAAAAUUUUGAAUAAAUCAAAACUUUCAACAACGGAUCUCUUGGUUCUCGCAUCGAUGAAGAACGCAGCGAAAUGCGAUAAGUAAUGUGAAUUGCAGAAUUCAGUGAAUCAUCGAAUCUUUGAACGCACAUUGCGCCCCUUGGUAUUCCGAGGGGCAUGCCUGUUCGAGCGUCAUUACACCACUCAAGCUAUGCUUGGUAUUGGGUGCCGUCCUUAGUUGGGCGCGCCUUAAAGACCUCGGCGAGGCCACUCCGGCUUUAGGCGUAGUAGAAUUUAUUCGAACGUCUGUCAAAGGAGAGGAACUCUGCCGAUUGAAACCUUUAUUUUUCUAGGUUGACCUCGGAUCAGGUAGGGAUACCCGCUGAACUUAAGCAUAUCAAUAAGCGGAGGA